This is a long non-coding RNA of Priapulus caudatus, 732 nucleotides long. RefSeq lists it as uncharacterized. The record is from RefSeq and is a predicted model, not a curated record. NCBI's taxonomy places the organism in Eukaryota, Metazoa, Priapulida, Priapulimorpha, Priapulimorphida, Priapulidae. The transcript is spliced from 2 exons.
ACCCAACGAACAGAGAGAGAGAGAGAGAGAGAGAGAGGAAAAGAGAGAGAGAGAGAGAGAGAGAGAAAGAGAAAACGACAGACAGAGAGAGAGACUCUGACCUCUGAGUCUCUGACAGAUAACAGCGGCGGAUAUCGCGAGCGGACGAAUUAGGUUACCACGAACUAGGACGGACCGGACCGCCCGCUACAGAUACGGCAAACCUGACCCGCUGCUAGUUGCUGACAUACGGAGCUUCGCAGCAGCGCCGCCGCCUCACCUGUGGCAGCACCGUUGCGUCGUCGCGAGGCACCGGCCCGCGCGCGUGAACGUGCACUUCGUAUUACACGCCUCCCAGUGGUAAUCCCCGCGCACACAAACGAACGUGGUCGAUCGCACGCACGGCAAGAGCAAAAAAGUGACCGACGAUCGUAGACUGACACCCCUCCUUCUUCAUCGGGAAUCGGCGAGCCGACGGCAGCCGUGGAGACAGUCUAGCCACCCGAUAAGAGACGAGCGCUGAGGCGACGUGUCGCGGGUGCGCGCUUACUUAAUUUCGCCUCGCUGCGACAGGCGGCUCUCUUAUCGCUCCAGUUCAUCUCACCUCCCUCCUCGAGCUGUCGUUUUGCCGAUAACUGCAUCUAUAUCUACAGCGAGAGACAACGACGAGACUUUGGUGCUGCUGCUGCUAGCUGUCGUCUGCGCGCGUGUGUAGGCGAGGACUACGGUGCAGAGCACUACGACAGCGAGUGU